This 167-nucleotide small nuclear RNA is filed under the name Nomascus leucogenys (northern white-cheeked gibbon). RNAcentral describes it as "U4 spliceosomal RNA". It matches the Rfam family "U4 spliceosomal RNA". Rfam says of the family: U4 small nuclear RNA (U4 snRNA) is a component of the major U2-dependent spliceosome. Lineage: Eukaryota; Metazoa; Chordata; Mammalia; Primates; Hylobatidae. The record is from Rfam by way of RNAcentral.
AGCUUUUUGCAGUGGCAGUAUUGCAGCCAAUGAGGUUUAUCCGAGGGGUGAUUAUUGCUCUUUGAAAAUUGAAAAAAAAAAAAAAAAAAAAAAAAAAAAGACACGACAUUUGCAUAAAUUCUUUUUUUUUUUUUUUUUUUUUUGAAAAGGAAUCUCGCUCUGUUGCC